RNAcentral lists this ribosomal RNA (494 nucleotides) under uncultured bacterium. Its description in RNAcentral is "partial 16S ribosomal RNA". It matches the Rfam family "Bacterial small subunit ribosomal RNA", at positions 28 to 507 of the family's 1533-position model. The record is from RNAcentral.
GACGAGCGCUGGCGGCGUGCUUAACACAUGCAAGUCGAACGGAAAGGCCUGCUUUCCCUUGUGGAUUGCGGGUACUCGAGUGGCGAACGGGUGAGUAACACGUGAGUGAUCUGCCCCCAACUUGGGUAUAAGCCUGGGAAACUGGGUCUAAUUCCCGAUAGGACUGCAGGGUGGUGCCUGUGGUGGAAAACGAUUUUCUAGUGGUUGGGGAUGAGCUCGCGGCCUAUCAGCUUGUUGGUGGGGUAAUGGCCUACCAAGGCGGCGACGGGUAGCCGGCCUGAGAGGGUGGACGGCCACAUUGGGACUGAGAUACGGCACAGACUCCUACGGGAGGCAGCAGUGGGGAAGAUUGGACGAUGGGCGGAAGCCUGAUGCAGCGACGCAGCGUGGGGGAUGACGGCCUUCGGGUUGUAAACUCCUUUCGACCGCGAGGAAGCCACCUGGUUGGAAGGGUGGUGACGGUAGUGGUAGAAGAAGCACCGGCUGACUACGUG